UCGCUUCAGCAGCAGAUAUACCGAAAUGGGAACCAGGCAGAGAAGAGUAGCAUAGCUCCUUGCACAAGGAUGACACACAAAUUUGUCAAUCGUCUUAUUUAGUU
This is a small nuclear RNA of Cynocephalus volans (Philippine flying lemur), 104 nucleotides long. The record is from RefSeq and is a predicted model, not a curated record. NCBI's taxonomy places the organism in Eukaryota, Metazoa, Chordata, Mammalia, Dermoptera, Cynocephalidae.